This 247-nucleotide unclassified non-coding RNA is filed under the name Hevea brasiliensis (rubber tree). The record is from RNAcentral. Lineage: Eukaryota; Viridiplantae; Streptophyta; Magnoliopsida; Malpighiales; Euphorbiaceae.
UGGUAUUUUGUAUGCCGACGACGAUGAUUUGAACAGAGGCCUCGUGCGCAAACGCAAGUGUGCGGCGCAACGAAAAAGGCCCGCCAAUGACGGGCCUUUCCAAAUCCGGCACAAGGUCGCUGGAUUAGUGCUUGAGAUCGUCCGGCAGCUUGCCGCCGUUCGCAGCAAGCUUGGUCAUGACCUGCUUGUGCAGCCAGAUGUUCAUCUUGGCCGAGUCGUUGGUGUCGCCAUCAUACUUCAGUUCCUU